This 460-nucleotide ribosomal RNA is filed under the name uncultured bacterium. RNAcentral describes it as "partial 16S ribosomal RNA". It matches the Rfam family "Bacterial small subunit ribosomal RNA", at positions 338 to 795 of the family's 1533-position model. The record is from RNAcentral.
CCUACGGGAGACAGCAGUGAGGAAUAUUGGUCAAUGGGCGAGAGCCUGAACCAGCCAAGUCGCGUGAAGGAUGACGGCCCUACGGGUUGUAAACUUCUUUUGUCAGGGAGCAAUUUGGUCCACGCGUGGGCUUAGCGAUAGUACCUGCAGACAAAGCAUCGGCUAACUCCGUGCCAGCAGCCGCGGUAAUACGGAGGAUGCGAGCGUUAUCCGGAUUUAUUGGGUUUAAAGGGUGCGUAGGCGGAAUAUCAAGUCAGCGGUAAAAAUUCGGGGCUCAACCCCGUCGUGCCGUUGAAACUGAUGUUCUGGAGUGGGCGAGAAGUAUGCGGAAUGCGUGGUGUAGCGGUGAAAUGCAUAGAUAUCACGCAGAACUCCGAUUGCGAAGGCAGCAUACCGGCGCCCAACUGACGCUGAAGCACGAAAGCGUGGGUAUCGAACAGGAUUAGAUACCCCGGUAGUC